CCUACGGGAGGCUGCAGUGGGGAAUAUUGCACAAUGGGCGCAAGCCUGAUGCAGCCAUGCCGCGUGUGUGAAGAAGGCCUUCGGGUUGUAAAGCACUUUCAGCGGGGAGGAAGGCGUUAAGGUUAAUAACCUUGUCGAUUGACGUUACCCGCAGAAGAAGCACCGGCUAACUCCGUGCCAGCAGCCGCGGUAAUACGGAGGGUGCAAGCGUUAAUCGGAAUUACUGGGCGUAAAGCGCACGCAGGCGGUCGGUCAAGUCGGAUGUGAAAUCCCCGGGCUCAACCUGGGAACUGCAUUCGAAACUGGCAGGCUAGAGUCUUGUAGAGGGGGGUAGAAUUCCAGGUGUAGCGGUGAAAUGCGUAGAGAUCUGGAGGAAUACCGGUGGCGAAGGCGGCCCCCUGGACAAAGACUGACGCUCAGGUGCGAAAGCGUGGGGAGCAAACAGGAUUAGAUACCCCAGUAGUC
This 465-nucleotide ribosomal RNA is filed under the name uncultured Klebsiella sp. Its description in RNAcentral is "bacterial SSU rRNA". It matches the Rfam family "Bacterial small subunit ribosomal RNA", at positions 338 to 795 of the family's 1533-position model. The record is from RNAcentral. Lineage: Bacteria; Pseudomonadati; Pseudomonadota; Gammaproteobacteria; Enterobacterales; Enterobacteriaceae.